GAAGCUGACCAGACAGUCGCCGCUUCGUCGUCGUCCUUUCGGGGAGACGGGCGGAGGGGAGGAAAGUCCGGGCUCCAUAGGGCAGGGUGCCAGGUAACGCCUGGGGGGGGAAACCCACGACCAGUGCAACAGAGAGCAAACCGCCGAUGGCCCACGCAAGUGGGAUCAGGUAAGGGUGAAAGGGUGCGGUAAGAGCGCACCGCGCGGCUGGUAACAGUCCGUGGCACGGUAAACUCCACCCGGAGCAAGGCCAAAUAGGGGUUCAUAAGGUACGGCCCGUACUGAAUCCGGGUAGGCUGCUUGAGCCAGUGAGCGAUUGCUGGCCUAGAUGAAUGACUGUCCACGACAGAACCCGGCUUAUCGGUCAGUUUCACUU
This 376-nucleotide RNase P RNA is filed under the name Salmonella enterica. RNAcentral's name for it is "RNase P RNA component class A". It matches the Rfam family "Bacterial RNase P class A". Rfam says of the family: Ribonuclease P (RNase P) is a ubiquitous endoribonuclease, found in archaea, bacteria and eukarya as well as chloroplasts and mitochondria. Its best characterised activity is the generation of mature 5'-ends of tRNAs by cleaving the 5'-leader elements of precursor-tRNAs. Lineage: Bacteria; Pseudomonadati; Pseudomonadota; Gammaproteobacteria; Enterobacterales; Enterobacteriaceae. The record is from RNAcentral. RNAcentral also lists the same sequence under 3 other names.